Molecule: ribosomal RNA, 112 nt
Filed under: Treponema sp.
Lineage: Bacteria; Pseudomonadati; Spirochaetota; Spirochaetia; Treponematales; Treponemataceae
Source: RNAcentral
CCCGGUGGCCAUAGUGAAGAGGUAAUACCCGUUCCCAUCCCGAACACGGAAGUCAAGCUCUUUUACGUCGAUGAUACUGCUUUUUAAGUGGGAAAGUAGAUCGCUGCCGGGC